Molecule: long non-coding RNA, 1280 nt
Organism: Oncorhynchus keta (chum salmon)
Lineage: Eukaryota; Metazoa; Chordata; Actinopteri; Salmoniformes; Salmonidae
Exons: 6
Source: RefSeq, a predicted model, not a curated record
CACUAUGGUCUUAGGUUAGUGACCUGGACUGAAAGUCAUCUGGCCACUAUGGUCUUAGGUUAGUGACCUGGACUGAAAGUCAUCUGGCCACUAUGGUCUUAGGUUAGUGACCUGGACUGAAAGUCAUCUGGCCACUAUGGUCUUAGGUUAGUGACCUGGACUGAAAGUCAUCUGGCCACUAUGGUCUUAGGUUAGUGACCUGGACUGAAAGUCAUCUGGCCACUAUGGUCUUAGGUUAGUGACCUGGACUGAAAGUCAUCUGGCCACUCUAUGGUCUUAGGUUAGUGACCUGGACUGAAAGUCAUCUGGCCACUAUGGUCUUAGGUUAGUGACCUGGACUGAAAGUCAUCUGGCCACUAUGGUCUUAGGUUAGUGACCUGGACUGAAAGUCAUCUGGCCACUAUGGUCUUAGGUUAGUGACCUGGACUGAAAGUCAUCUGGCCACUAUGGUCUUAGGUUAGUGACCUGGACUGAAAGUCAUCUGGCCACUAUGGUCUUAGGUUAGUGACCUGGACUGAAAGUCAUCUGGCCACUAUGGUCUUAGGUUAGUGACCUGGACUGAAAGUCAUCUGGCCACUCUAUGGUCUUAGGUUAGUGACCUGGACUGAAAGUCAUCUGGCCACUAUGGUCUUAAGUUAGUGACCUGGACUGAAAGUCAUCUGGCCACUAUGGUCUUAGGUUAGUGACCCGGACUGAAAGUCACCUGGCCACUAUGGUCUUAGGUUAGUGACCAGGACUGAAAGUCACCUGGCCACUAUGGUCUUAGGUUAGUGACCUGGACUGAAAGUCAUCUGGCCACUCUAUGGUCUUAGGUUAGUGACCUGGACUGAAAGUCACCUGGCCACUCUAUGGUCUUAGGUUAGUGACCUGGACUGAAAGUCAUCUGGCCACUCUAUGGUCUUAGGUUAGUGACCUGGACUGAAAGUCACCUGGCCACUCUAUGGUCUUAGGUUAGUGACCUGGACUGAAAGUCAUCUGGCCACUCUAUGGUCUUAGGUUAGUGACCUGGACUGAAAGUCAUCUGGCCACUCUAUGGUCUUAGGUUAGUGACCUGGACUGAAAGUCAUCUGGCCACUAUGGUCUUAAGUUAGUGACCUGGACUGAAAGUCAUCUGGCCACUAUGGUCUUAGGUUAGUGACCUGGACUGAAAGUCAUCUGGCCACUAUGGUCUUAGGUUAGUGACCUGGACUGAAAGUCAUCUGGCCACUAUGGUCUUAGGUUAGUGACUCGGACUGAAAUUCAUCUGGCCACUAUGGUUACUGGAGGUAACAUAAGCUCAC